UAGGGAAUCUUCCACAAUGGACGCAAGUCUGAUGGAGCAACGCCGCGUGAGUGAAGAAGGUUUUCGGAUCGUAAAGCUCUGUUGUUGGUGAAGAAGGAUAGAGGCAGUAACUGGUCUUUAUUUGACGGUAAUCAACCAGAAAGUCACGGCUAACUACGUGCCAGCAGCCGCGGUAAUACGUAGGUGGCAAGCGUUGUCCGGAUUUAUUGGGCGUAAAGCGAGCGCAGGCGGAAUGAUAAGUCUGAUGUGAAAGCCCACGGCUCAACCGUGGAACUGCAUCGGAAACUGUCAUUCUUGAGUGCAGAAGAGGAGAGUGGAAUUCCAUGUGUAGCGGUGGAAUGCGUAGAUAUAUGGAAGAACACCAGUGGCGAAGGCGGCUCUCUGGUCUGCAACUGACGCUGAGGCUCGAAAGCAUGGGUGGCGAACAGG
Molecule: ribosomal RNA, 429 nt
Filed under: bacterium
Lineage: Bacteria
Description: partial 16S ribosomal RNA
Rfam family: Bacterial small subunit ribosomal RNA
Source: RNAcentral